UACGUAGGGGGCAAGCGUUGUCCGGAAUCAUUGGGCGUAAAGAGCGUGUAGGCGGCUCGAUAAGUCUGCUGUGAAAGUCCAGGGCUCAACCCUGGAAGGCCGGUGGAAACUGUCGGGCUAGAGUCCGGAAGAGGCGAGUGGAACUCCCGGUGUAGCGGUGGAAUGCGUAGAGAUCGGGAAGAACACCAGUGGCGAAGGCGACGUGCUGGGUUGCACCUGACGCUGAGAUGCGAAAGUGUGGGGAGCAAACGGG
This 253-nucleotide ribosomal RNA is filed under the name uncultured bacterium. Its description in RNAcentral is "partial 16S ribosomal RNA". It matches the Rfam family "Bacterial small subunit ribosomal RNA", at positions 524 to 776 of the family's 1533-position model. The record is from RNAcentral.